Molecule: RNA transcript, 3994 nt
Organism: Prionailurus viverrinus (fishing cat)
Lineage: Eukaryota; Metazoa; Chordata; Mammalia; Carnivora; Felidae
Gene: ABCD1
Gene name: ATP binding cassette subfamily D member 1
Exons: 9
Source: RefSeq, a predicted model, not a curated record
UCUCUGUCGGCUUCUGCCGGGCUGCGGAGCGGACGGACGCGCCUAGUGCCCCGGGGAGGGGAGCCACCAGGAGUGGAGGUAGAGGAGGAGGUGUAGAGGAAGAGACGCCCUCUCUGCCGGGACGUCCCCCCGCCCCCCGAGGCUCUGACCCCAGGGGCUAGGGGCCUGACAAGUUUCUCCACCUUGGCUGCCUGAGGAGGCCGCUACCCUGGAGGGCCCUGAGCCCACCGCACCAGGGGCCCCAGCACCGCCCCGGUGGUCUAACGCGACAGUUUCAGGGACCACUGCAAGGUUUCCAGUGGCCUAGACCAGGAGCCCGGGGUCAGAGCAACAACCCUUCCGGCCACCUGCCUCGACUUCUGCCUCAGGCACCAGUCCCGGCCCCGUGCAUCCAGCCCAGGUGACAUGCCGGUACUCUCCACGCCCAGGCCCUCUCGGGUGACCACGCUGAAGCGCACAGCUCUGGUCCUGGCCCUCACCGCCUAUGGAGCCCACAAAAUCUACCCCCUGGUGCGGCAGUACCUAGCUGCAAGCAGGGGCCCUCAGGUACCGGCAGGGGAGUCCACGCAGGACGUCUCUGGGGCCACGGCGGCCAAGGCCAGCGUGAACAGGGUGUUCUUGCGGCGGCUCUUGGGGCUCCUGCGGCUGCUCUUCCCCAGGACCCUGUGCCGGGAAACGGGGCUGCUGGCACUGCAUUCGGCCUCCCUGGUGAGCCGGACUUUCCUGUCCGUGUACGUGGCCCGCCUGGACGGCCGGCUGGCCCGCUGCAUCGUGCGCAAGGACCCACGGGCCUUCAGCUGGCAGCUCCUACAGUGGCUCCUCAUCGCUCUCCCUGCCACCUUCAUCAACAGUGCCAUCCGGUACCUCGAGGGCCAGCUGGCCCUGUCUUUCCGCAGCCGUCUAGUGGCCCAUGCCUACAGCCUCUACUUCUCCCAGCAGACUUACUACAGAGUCAGCAAUAUGGACGGGCGCCUUCGCAACCCUGACCAGUCCUUGACGGAGGACGUGGUGGCCUUUGCCGCUUCAGUGGCCCACCUCUACUCCAACCUCACCAAGCCGCUCCUGGACGUCGCCGUGACGGCCUACACUCUGGUUCGAGCGGCCCGCUCCCGUGGGGCCGGCACGGCCUGGCCCUCGGCCAUCGCUGGCCUUGUCCUGUUCCUCACAGCCAACGUGCUGCGAGCUUUCUCACCUAAGUUUGGCGAGCUGGUGGCAGAGGAGGCGCGGCGGAAGGGAGAGCUGCGCUACAUGCACUCUCGAGUGGUGGCCAACUCAGAGGAGAUCGCCUUCUAUGGGGGCCACGAGGUGGAGCUAGCCCUGUUGCGGCACUCCUACCAGGACCUAGCUUCGCAGAUUAACCUCAUCCUGCUGGAACGCCUUUGGUACAUCAUGCUGGAACAGUUCCUCAUGAAGUACGUGUGGAGUGCCUCCGGCUUACUCAUGGUGGCCGUCCCCAUCAUCACUGCCACCGGCUACUCCGAGUCAGACUCAGAGGCAGUGAAGAAGGCCGCCUUGGAGAUGCGGGAAGGGGAGCUCGUGAGCGAACGCACAGAAGCCUUCACCAUUGCCCGCAACCUCCUCACCGCUGCCGCGGAUGCCAUCGAGCGAAUCAUGUCGUCCUACAAGGAGGUGACAGAGCUGGCCGGCUACACGGCCCGAGUACACGAGAUGUUCCAGGUAUUCGAAGAUGUCCAACACUGCCGUUUCAAGAGGCCUGGCGAGCUGGAGAGCACUCAGGCAGGAGCCGGGGCUGUGGCGCGCUCUGGUGUCCGUGUAGAGGGGCCCCUGCAGAUCCGAGGCCAAGUGGUAGAUGUGGAACAGGGAAUUAUUUGUGAGAACAUCCCCAUCAUCACGCCCACGGGAGAGGUGGUGGUGUCCAGCCUCAACAUCAGGGUGGAAGAAGGCAUGCACCUGCUCAUCACGGGCCCCAACGGCUGCGGCAAGAGUUCUCUGUUCCGGAUCCUCGGCGGGCUGUGGCCCGCAUACGGCGGCGUGCUGUACAAGCCCCCGCCCCAGCGCAUGUUCUACAUCCCUCAGAGGCCCUACAUGUCCGUGGGCUCCUUGCGAGACCAGGUGAUCUACCCAGACUCUGUGGAAGACAUGCGAAGGAAAGGCUAUUCGGAGCAGCACCUGGAGGCCAUUCUGGACAUCGUGCACCUGAACCACAUACUGCAGCGGGAAGGGGGUAAGGGAGGGGGUGGCCCGUCCCACCUAUCAGCGCCAGGGAGUGAGCCACUUAUCAAUUGCCCUUUGGCCCCAGACUGUCAACCGGUUGCCACCCCCACCCCUGCCUCCCUCUCGCCCCUGAGGAAUACAGAUAGUCCCUGCAUCCGGGAGUCCAAAGUGCUAGCGCCCUGGAACGCCCCAGCUGGUGGGCGGAAGUCAUGAGGCAAGGGCAACCAGGCACAGUGGGAAGCGUGCGAUGGGGGUGCUCACUUUUGGCCCGGAUCACCUUGUUCAGGCUGUCGGGCUCAGGGGCAGGGAGGCUCCUGUGGGCCAGGCAGGGAACCCAGGCUUUCCCUGACAGUGAAGGAAGCCUUUGGAAAGCUCGAGGCAGGGAAGUGACAGGUCUAGCGAGAGGACAGAGCACGGGUGGAACGUGUGCCCAGGGUGUCCGUGCAGAGCGCCUCUAGCACAGGGAGCAGGACACAGCCAGAGGGGACGCUUGCGUUUCCGUCUUGAGCCUGGGAGGCGCCAUCCCCUGGGAAGGAGACGGCAGGAGUGGAGGGACAAGCUGGUAGCCCAGGGCUGCGGAGCUGCUGGAGGAAAGGGAGGUGGGGCUGGGCUCAAUUUUCUUCCUGAAAUCUGAGAGCCUGGGCUGCGCUUCCUGCCUCGUCACUUGGGGACAGCUUGGCUGUAAGCAGUGACCUCACCUCUCGAGACUCUUCCCCUGCAAAAGGGGACAGCUCCCUUAGCACCAGCCUGACACAAAAUCCGUCUUGUAAGGACUCAUAGCAGGUGUUCAGGGCACAGCAGAUGAUUCAUGAGGCUUCUUCCCAGAUGUCGUCGCCUGUGUCACAAAGAGGGCUGGAGGUGGUGGAUUUGGGGGGGCGGCUCCUCCUGGGCCUACCCUGGUGGCUGUGGUCCCCCCAGGCUUCAUCCCCGGCUUCCCUGUGUCCUGGUCAGCCCUCUUCUGUUCCAGCGGCCCCGCGCCGGGGGUGCACCCCUCCUCCUGUCUUCUCUGGCACCCCUGAGUGCGCUGGGCCCCUGAGGCCUGCCGUCACAACCUAUUAGCACUGAGUUCAGCUGUGAGCAGCAGAACCCCCUUCCCCGAACGAACGUCAGCAAGAUCGUUCACAAGUUUACCUUACCGUGACAUAACAGUCCUGAGGAAAGCAGGCCACCACCGAUGGAGGCAGCCCUGCGCUGUGAAAGGUCCCUCAGGUCGCUCAGCUAUGUUAGCCUCCGCCACUGAAGCCACCUCGUGGUCCAGAGAUGGCUGCUCCGGCUACCACAUAACAUCCCAGGCCGUGGCUUGGAGAAGAGGGGGAAGGGCCAAGGGCACAUGCCAUGUGUCUUUUAAAGAAAGUUCCAGAAGCUGCCACAUGUGUAACACACUUACACGCGUCGGCCAGAAAUCAGUCACCCGGUCGCCCCUCACCUCCGGGCAAGCUACGGCCUCAAGGCAAGGUAUGGAGUAGAGGCUUUCUUGUGGCUGGGCGUGUGCCCUGACAAAACUUCGAGUCCCGAGGGAGGACCGAGUGGAGGUAGUUGCUUCUGCUCAGACUCGCUAAGGCACUGGCGACAGGCAGUGACAAACACCCAGUCCCCGUGGGUGAGGACCCUUCAGGAGACGCUGCUGCAGUCAUCUGUGGGGCUGUGCCACGACCGUCUGCACAAUUCUGAUCACGUCUUUUUGGGCUAUUAAAGUCUUACCUCCAGGUUGGGAAGCCGUGUGUGACUGGAAGGAUGUGCUGUCGGGGGGUGAGAAGCAGAGAAUUGGGAUGGCGCGCAUGUUCUACCACAGGCCCAAGUAUGCUCUCCUGGAUGAAUG